CUGGAGGUAUCAGAAGUGCGAAUGCUGACAUAAGUAACGAUAAAGCGGGUGAAAAGCCCGCUCGCCGGAAGACCAAGGGUUCCUGUCCAACGUUAAUCGGGGCAGGGUGAGUCGACCCCUAAGGCGAGGCCGAAAGGCGUAGUCGAUGGGAAACGGGUUAAUAUUCCCGUACUUGGUGUUACUGCGAAGGGGGGACGGAGAAGGCUAUGUUGGCCGGGCGACGGUUGUCCCGGUUUAAGCGUGUAGGUGUGUGUUCCAGGUAAAUCCGGUUCACUUUAACACUGAGGCGUGACGACGAGGCACUACGGUGCUGAAGCAACAAAUGCCCUGCUUCCAGGAAAAGCCUCUAAGCAUCAGGUAACAUCAAAUCGUACCCCAAACCGACACAGGUGGUCAGGUAGAGAAUACCAAGGCGCUUGAGAGAACUCGGGUGAAGGAACUAGGCAAAAUGGUGCCGUAACUUCGGGAGAAGGCACGCUGACACGUAGGUGAAGUGAUUUACUCACGGAGCUGAAGUCAGUCGAAGAUACCAGCUGGCUGCAACUGUUUAUUAAAAACACAGCACUGUGCAAACACGAAAGUGGACGUAUACGGUGUGACGCCUGCCCGGUGCCGGAAGGUUAAUUGAUGGGGUCAGCGCAAGCGAAGCUCCUGAUCGAAGCCCCGGUAAACGGCGGCCGUAACUAUAACGGUCCUAAGGUAGCGAAAUUCCUUGUCGGGUAAGUUCCGACCUGCACGAAUGGCGUAAUGAUGGCCAGGCUGUCUCCACCCGAGACUCAGUGAAAUUGAACUCGCUGUGAAGAUGCAGUGUACCCGCGGCAAGACGGAAAGACCCCGUGAACCUUUACUAUAGCUUGACACUGAACAUUGAGCCUUGAUGUGUAGGAUAGGUGGGAGGCUUUGAAGUGUGGACGCCAGUCUGCAUGGAGCCGACCUUGAAAUACCACCCUUUAAUGUUUGAUGUUCUAACGUGGACCCGUAAUCCGGGUUGCGGACAGUGUCUGGUGGGUAGUUUGACUGGGGCGGUCUCCUCCUAAAGAGUAACGGAGGAGCACGAAGGUUGGCUAAUCCUGGUCGGACAUCAGGAGGUUAGUGCAAUGGCAUAAGCCAGCUUGACUGCGAGCGUGACGGCGCGAGCAGGUGCGAAAGCAGGUCAUAGUGAUCCGGUGGUUCUGAAUGGAAGGGCCAUCGCUCAACGGAUAAAAGGUACUCCGGGGAUAACAGGCUGAUACCGCCCAAGAGUUCAUAUCGACGGCGGUGUUUGGCACCUCGAUGUCGGCUCAUCACAUCCUGGGGCUGAAGUAGGUCCCAAGGGUAUGGCUGUUCGCCAUUUAAAGUGGUACGCGAGCUGGGUUUAGAACGUCGUGAGACAGUUCGGUCCCUAUCUGCCGUGGGCGCUGGAGAACUGAGGGGGGCUGCUCCUAGUACGAGAGGACCGGAGUGGACGCAUCACUGGUGUUCGGGUUGUCAUGCCAAUGGCACUGCCCGGUAGCUAAAUGCGGAAGAGAUAAGUGCUGAAAGCAUCUAAGCACGAAACUUGCCCCGAGAUGAGUUCUCCCUGAGACUUAGAGUCUCCUGAAGGAACGUUGAAGACGACGACGUUGAUAGGCCGGGUGUGUAAGCGCAGCGAUGCGUUGAGCUAACCGGUACUAAUGAACCGUGAGGCUUAACCUUACAACGCCGAAG
Molecule: ribosomal RNA, 1686 nt
Filed under: Salmonella enterica subsp. enterica serovar Brancaster
Lineage: Bacteria; Pseudomonadati; Pseudomonadota; Gammaproteobacteria; Enterobacterales; Enterobacteriaceae
Description: partial 23S ribosomal RNA
Rfam family: Bacterial large subunit ribosomal RNA
Source: RNAcentral